RNAcentral lists this ribosomal RNA (472 nucleotides) under uncultured bacterium. RNAcentral's name for it is "partial 16S ribosomal RNA". It matches the Rfam family "Bacterial small subunit ribosomal RNA", at positions 28 to 507 of the family's 1533-position model. The record is from RNAcentral.
GACGAACGCUGGCGGCGUGCUUAACACAUGCAAGUCGAGCGGAAAGGCCCUUCUGGCUACUCGAGCGGCGAACGGGCGGGUAACACAUGCGUAAUCUGCCCUCGGCUUUGGGAUAACUACGGGAGACGGUGGCUGAUAACGGCUACUACAACCGGCUGCAUGGGGUGGUGGUUGAAAGGUUUUUCGGCCAUGGGUGUGCCCGCGGCCUAUUAGGUUGUUGGUGGGGUUAUGGGCUACCCAGGCCGCGACCGGUAACCGGGAUGAGGGGGUGACCGGCUACAAUGCGACUGAGACACGGACCAGAGGCCGACGGGAGGAAGAAGGGAGGAAUAGUGGAAGAUGGACGGAGGCCUGCCCCAGCUAUGCAGAGUGACGGCGGACGGCAUUCGGGUUGUAGUCCUGUUGAAGUACCGUAGAAGAGCAGAUGAUGGUGGUGACGGUACCUACAGAAGAAGCACCGGCUAACUACGUG